Molecule: ribosomal RNA, 319 nt
Filed under: uncultured bacterium
Lineage: Bacteria
Description: bacterial SSU rRNA
Rfam family: Bacterial small subunit ribosomal RNA
Source: RNAcentral
GACGAACGCUGGCGGCGUGCUUAACACAUGCAAGUCGAGCGGUAAGGCCCUUUCGGGGGUACACGAGCGGCGAACGGGUGAGUAACACGUGGGUGACCUGCCCUCAGCUCUGGGAUAAGCCUGGGAAACCGGGUCUAAUACCGGAUAUGACUCCAUGACGCAUGUUGUGGGGUGGAAAGCCUUGUGCGGCUGAGGAUGGGCCCGCGGCCUAUCAGCUUGUUGGUGGGGNGAUGGCCUACCAAGGCGACGACGGGUAGCCGGCCUGAGAGGGCGACCGGCCACACUGGGACUGAGACACGGCCCAGACUCCUACGGGAGG